This is a long non-coding RNA of Colossoma macropomum (tambaqui), 229 nucleotides long. RefSeq lists it as uncharacterized. Lineage: Eukaryota; Metazoa; Chordata; Actinopteri; Characiformes; Serrasalmidae. The transcript has 3 exons. The record is from RefSeq and is a predicted model, not a curated record.
GUUGGCUGCUGCUGCUUCAUGAUGCAUGGAGGGAGAAGGUGGACGAGUUAACCUGAAGCCACUGCCCGUCACGGAGCACACAGUGUCUCUCUAGCCCCCACUACCCACUGCCGCCAUGUUUAAGAACAGCCUGAAGAUGCUCCUGGGGGGCAAGGCCAACAGGAAGAGCCGCAACAGCACCGAUGGAGGGAGCGAGGAACCCAGCGAGCUGCGGAGCGCCAGCCUGGAC